This 229-nucleotide long non-coding RNA is filed under the name Olea europaea (common olive). Its description in RNAcentral is "long non-coding RNA (OEUR_LNC012889)". The record is from RNAcentral. Lineage: Eukaryota; Viridiplantae; Streptophyta; Magnoliopsida; Lamiales; Oleaceae.
GAAAACACCAAUAUAUAUAGUAAGUCAAGUGGCCAACAUAAGGUAAGUAGGGAUAUGGUAAGUAGGCUCGACUAGGGUUAACUUCCAAUGGAAAGAAUCAACAAGCCACAAAGAGUAUUAGCCGUCCAAUAGGUAAAGCAACGUUUGGUCGGUUCAUCCAUUAUUCGAUGUUGAAUUAUCGUUCAGUCAUUCAUGUCGACUGAUAAAAUUGGUUCUCAUCAUCGCCCGG